AGUGAACGCUGGCGGUAGGCCUAACACAUGCAAGUCGAACGGCAGCACAAUAAGAGCUUGCUCUUACGGGUGGCGAGUGGCGGACGGGUGAGGAAUACAUCGGAAUCUAUUUUUUCGUGGGGGAUAACGUAGGGAAACUUACGCUAAUACCGCAUACGACCUACGGGUGAAAGCAGGGGAUCUUCGGACCUUGCUCGAUUGAAUGAGCCGAUGUCGGAUUAGCUAGUUGGCGGGGUAAAGGCCCACCAAGGCGACGAUCCGUAGCUGGUCUGAGAGGAUGAUCAGCCACACUGGAACUGAGACACGGUCCAGACUCCUACGGGAGGCAGCAGUGGGGAAUAUUGGACAAUGGGCGCAAGCCUGAUCCAGCAAUACCGCGUGGGUGAAGAAGGCCUUCGGGUUGUAAAGCCCUUUUGUUGGGAAAGAAAAGCAGCAGGUUAAUACCCCGCUGUUCUGACGGUACCCAAAGAAUAAGCACCGGCUAACUUCGUG
RNAcentral lists this ribosomal RNA (492 nucleotides) under uncultured bacterium. RNAcentral's name for it is "partial 16S ribosomal RNA". It matches the Rfam family "Bacterial small subunit ribosomal RNA", at positions 29 to 507 of the family's 1533-position model. The record is from RNAcentral.